GUGUCAGCAGCCGCGGUAAUACGAAGGGGGCUAGCGUUGUUCGGAAUCACUGGGCGUAAAGCGCACGUAGGCGGACCAUUAAGUCAGGGGUGAAAGCCUGGAGCUCAACUCCAGAACUGCCUUUGAUACUGAUGGUCUCGAGUUCGGAAGAGGUUGGUGGAACUGCGAGUGUAGAGGUGAAAUUCGUAGAUAUUCGCAAGAACACCAGUGGCGAAGGCGGCCAACUGGUCCGAUACUGACGCUGAGGUGCGAAAGCGUGGGGAGCAAACAGGAUUAGAAACCCCAGUAGUCC
This 292-nucleotide ribosomal RNA is filed under the name uncultured Phreatobacter sp. Its description in RNAcentral is "partial 16S ribosomal RNA". It matches the Rfam family "Bacterial small subunit ribosomal RNA", at positions 505 to 796 of the family's 1533-position model. Lineage: Bacteria; Pseudomonadati; Pseudomonadota; Alphaproteobacteria; Hyphomicrobiales; Phreatobacteraceae. The record is from RNAcentral.